GGGGAAUUUUGGACAAUGGGGGCAACCCUGAUCCAGCCAUGCCGCGUGAGUGAAGAAGGCCUUCGGGUUGUAAAGCUCUUUCGGACGGAAAGAAAUCGCCGCCUCUAACAUAGGCGGUGGAUGACGGUACCGUAAGAAGAAGCACCGGCUAACUACGUGCCAGCAGCCGCGGUAAUACGUAGGGUGCGAGCGUUAAUCGGAAUUACUGGGCGUAAAGCGUGCGCAGGCGGUUUGGUAAGACAGGUGUGAAAUCCCCGGGCUUAACCUGGGAACUGCGCUUGUGACUGCCAGGCUAGAGUCCGAGAGAGGUGAGUGGAAUUUCCAGUGUAGAGGUGAAAUUCGUAGAUAUUGGAAAGAACACCAGUGGCGAAGGCGGCUCACUGGCUCGGUACUGACGCUGAGGUGCGACAGCGUGGGGAGCAAACA
Molecule: ribosomal RNA, 426 nt
Filed under: uncultured Pseudomonadota bacterium
Lineage: Bacteria; Pseudomonadati; Pseudomonadota
Description: bacterial SSU rRNA
Rfam family: Bacterial small subunit ribosomal RNA
Source: RNAcentral